Molecule: ribosomal RNA, 497 nt
Filed under: uncultured bacterium
Lineage: Bacteria
Description: partial 16S ribosomal RNA
Rfam family: Bacterial small subunit ribosomal RNA
Source: RNAcentral
GAUGAACGCUGGCGGCGUGCCUAAUACAUGCAAGUCGAGCGAACAGACGAGGAGCUUGCUCCUCUGACGUUAGCGGCGGACGGGUGAGUAACACGUGGAUAACCUACCUAUAAGACUGGGAUAACUUCGGGAAACCGGAGCUAAUACCGGAUAAUAUAUUGAACCGCAUGGUUCAAUAGUGAAAGACGGUUUUGCUGUCACUUAUAGAUGGAUCCGCGCCGCAUUAGCUAGUUGGUAAGGUAACGGCUUAUCAAGGCAACGAUGCGUAGCCGACCUGAGAGGGUGAUCGGCCACACUGGAACUGAGACACGGUCCAGACUACUACGGGAGGCAGCAGUAGGGAAUCUUCCGCAAUGGGCGAAAGCCUGACGGAGCAACGCCGCGUGAGUGAUGAAGGUCUUCGGAUCGUAAAACUCUGUUAUUAGGGAAGAACAAAUGUGUAAGUAACUAUGCACGUCUUGACGGUACCUAAUCAGAAAGCCACGGCUAACUACGUG